This 15275-nucleotide long non-coding RNA is filed under the name Solanum tuberosum (potato). Its description in RNAcentral is "long non-coding RNA (STUB_LNC005012)". Lineage: Eukaryota; Viridiplantae; Streptophyta; Magnoliopsida; Solanales; Solanaceae. The record is from RNAcentral.
AAUUAAUAAAGGAAAAAUCACUCUCAUUGAAAAACAAAAUACUACACCAUAUGUAGUUACAGACUUAUAGUAUUGUAAAGACCGAAUCAGGUAAAUAGUGUAAGCCUUUUUUAUAAUACUGGCGAUGUAUAUAGUUAAACCCUCAAAAACUUCAUAAUCAAAUAAAUACUAUUUUAUUCAAUAAUAUUUGCAUAAUCCAAAAGGCAAGUUCAUUACUACUAAGAGGAGGUGCCAUCAGAGGGGUUAAUCUUUUUCUUAUCAUUCUUGAAAGUGGACACCACAGCUUUGCCUAGCUUUUCAACAACCAUUUUCUUCACUGACUUCUUAUCUUUCUUUGGAAACACACUUCCAAUAUUCUUUGAUGUGCCUACUUUGCUCUUUCCAUUAUUCUCCAUAUCUCUUCUCUUCUCUUAAAAUAAAAUUAAUUAUGAAUAUGAGCAAGUGUAGUGUAUUAUUGCUUUGUUGCUUUAACUUUUGAUGCUUUGAGGAGUUCAUAUAUAUGUUGAGGUAUUUAUAGGAGUUUAGGCUUUGUUUAUGGUAUUCUUCACAAUGUUUUCAUGUAACUUCUUCAUGAAUUUCUAAGUUGGCUCAUGUAAGAUUUUAAGCACAUUGUUGUAUGUUUCGUGCAAUAUGGAAUGUGUUUGUGUGUGUGGAAUUCAUAUUUAAUUUAUUUAUAUCUCAUAUCUUAUGUUAUUAACAAGUGUGAGCUCAUAUUUGAAAUUCUUUCUGCCUCAAUUUAUAUGAAGAGGUUCAGAAUAUGACGGUCAACAACUUUAAUUUUCUUAUUAAGAAAUUCAGAUAUAAACUGUUCAAACAUUUUAAAAUAAAAUUUAAAAACUACACGAAAUAUUCUACGAGUCAACAUAACUGCUAAUAUUUUCAAAAGUUUGAGAAACUCAUAUUGUUGCACGGGUUGUGUCAUUUGUGUGUGUAUUGGAGGAGGAGUGGGUAAUUUGUGGGUUAGCGUGGGUGUGUGGAUUAAUUAAGAUGACUCCUAUUAAAUUUGACUCAUAAUAAGAUAUGUAGAUAGUAAUUUACAUAACGGAAAAAUGUCCCUACCAUAAUAUUUACAUGAAAAAACAUCUCGACCUCAAAUCAAAGAAACAUAUUAUAACACAUACUCUAAAUAAUACGUAAAGGAUUUUAUUAAUGUAAUAAGCGUGUGGGCCAAAAUCUUCUCAAAUCUUGUUGUGUUCAUUUCCUUUACCGUGUUCUCAUAUUUGUUUGUAUUUUUGUGUUUGUAAGGUGUAAAGGGGAUUUAAUUGUAAUGGAAAAAUUCUUUUGGCCAGAAUUUCGCCAGAGUGAUAAAAUAAUAUAUUUUACACUAUGUUAUUUUAUCUUUUUGAACAUUUUUACCAUUUUAACUUUAAUACCUUUUAAUUAAAAAAUAGAAAAAAGAUUAGUUUAUUUUAAAAUAAAAAAGAUAUUUUAUAGACUUUUUAAAUUUCUGGCCAAAUUCUCUAGUCAUUUAGCAUUACCCGUAAAGUAAAUUUUGUGGAUUAAUUAUUUGUGUUUCUUGAAAACAUAUACCCCCUCCAUUUCAUAUUAAAUAAACAUCUUAUUAAAAAUAUUUGUCUCAGAUUACUCGAUCACUUACUAAAUUAGGAUAAAAUUAAUUAUUUUUUUCUUAUUUUACCCCUAUAAUUAGUAUGGUCGUUGAAAGUUUAAACAAACUUUAAAGACUCAAGAAUUUCUUUUGGCGUGGGAUGAUGUCAUUGGUUCUUUUCUUCUCUUAUCCUCUCGGGAGCUUCAUUUCGGAGUCGACGUUCAAGAGGGUAAUUAAUAUGAACAAAGUAAAAUUAAUCAAUAUAAUAAUGAUUUCUUAAUUACCACGUAAAAUAGAAAGUGCUCAUCUAAUAUGAGACAGAGGGAGUAUCUCUUAUCAUUAUUCUACUAUCACUACAAGAAAACUAUGAAUUAAAUGGGGAUUUUCCUGGGAAUUAGUAUGAAAAUUUGCAGGAAAAUAAGUUUCCUGCGAAUUUUCAUACUAAUCCCCAAGAAAAUCCCAUGUAAUUCACACUUUUUUUGUAGUGUAUCUUAUUCUUCAAUUUUAUUAUAAUUGAUUAUUUCAUUUGCUUCGGUUAUCAAAUUAUUUUUUGCUGCUGCUAUUCUCUUCUCCUUUAUUUUUUAUAUCCACUGUAUUUUCUUUCCAUUCUUAUUUUUUUAUAUAUAUGUUUUACUUGAGGUAAUGCUCUAUCAAAAAUUAAACAAUCUCUUUACUUUCAUAAAAUAAAGACAACUUAAAGUUGUAUUAAUAUUGUGUUAUUGUAUGAAUAGAAGCAUAAAUAAGAUAGUUGGUUUGCUUAGCGUGAUCGUUACAGCCCUUUGGCGUUAUACGAUUGCGAUUUCAAUAUUUAUCUAAAUUUUCACCUCUUAUUAAAAUGAAAAUUUGAGUAUAUUUUUUAGAAAAGAAAAAUUGGGAAAGGGAUUACAAGGCAGAAAAUUGAACCAACUAAUUGAACUAUUAAGAUUUCUCAAAAUUCGAGCACUUCACUUUAGUUUAUAUUUAGAAAUUAACAAUGAAAUUACACUAUUGAAGAGGGAAAUUAACAAAUGGAAACGGAAACGAAAACUCGUGUUACAACUUACAACAUGCUUAAAUGUUUUAAUUAAUAAAGGAAAUAUCACUCUCAUAGAAAAACAAAAUACUACACCAUAGUUUAUUAAAUGAGUUUAAUUUAUAUACAUCAACAAUAUAAUAAAGAAGAUAAACAAUGUAAACAUUAUUCUUUACAAUACUGGAGAUGUAUAUAAGUUAAACCCUCGAAAUACAUUAGAAUCAAAUAAAUACAUUAUUCAAUAAUAUUAGCACAAUCUUAAAAGCAAGUUGAUUAUAGUAAGGGGACUAAGAUGUGCCAUCAGAGGGGUUAAUCUUCUUCUUAUCAUUCUUGAAAGUGGACACCACAGUUUUACCUAUCUUUUCAAAAGCCAUUUUCUUCACUGAUUUCUUAUCUUUCUUUGGAAACACACUUCCAUUGUUUGAUGUGCCUACUUUGCCCUUUCCAUUAUUCUCCAUAUCUCUUCUCUUACAAAUAAAUAAUUAAUUAAAUAUGAGGGAGUAUAGUGUAUUAUUGUUUGUUGCUUUAACUUGUGAUGCUUUGAGGAGUUCAUGUGCUUAGGUAUUUAUAGGAGUUUAGGCUUUAUUUAUGGUAUUCUUCUUAAUGUUUUCAUGUAACUUCUUCAUCAAUUUCUAAGUUGGCUCAUGUAACAUUUUGAGAACAUUGUUGUUAUUUCGUGCAUGGAAUGUGUGAUUGUGUGUGUUUAUGUGUGUGUGUUUGUAAUUCAUAUUUAUUUAUAUCUCUAAGUCUUGUGUUAUUAAAAAGUGUGAGUUGCGCUAAUGGCCAUGAAACUAUUGAUUUAUAAUUAUAAUCUUAUAAUUGUGUGUGUGUGUUGUUUUGGAGUUCGUAUAUUUAUAUUUCUAAGUUUUGUGUUAUUAAAUUGUGCGAGUUCUUAUAGAUGUGGUAAUCACCCCAAUUUUAAUUAUAAUCUAAUUAUUUAAUACUCUUCUGCUUCAAUUUUAUGUGAAGGGGUUCAGAGUUAGUAUGAGGGUUAACAUAUUUGAUUUGAUUAUGAAUUCGAGUAAAGACUCUAUAAGUACUUUAAAAUAAAAUUUAUAAAUUUAAUAAUUACACGAAAAGUACUACAAAUCAACAUAGCUACUAGUUUGUGUGGGUGGGUGGAUUAAUUAGGAUGUCUCCUAUAACCUAUUUAAGCGUGUGGGCCAAAUCUCCUUAAAUUAUUAUUUUUUCAAUUCGUUUAUGUGUCCUGGUGUUAAAGAUGUGAAAUUUUUAAACAAAUUCUGAAAUAUAGAUUGAGAUUAGCUUUAGCAAAUUGCUGUUAGAUGGUAUGGUUAUCACUUGCUAUUGUUUAUCUUUAUUGAUUAGUUGGAAAUGAAGUAAAGAUUAUCUUAUGUUAGUGAUGAGGUUUUUUCUAGUGUUAUAAUAAAGGAGUAUUAGUAAUUUCAAUAGUUCUAAGUUGUUUAUCAUUCUUAUUUAGCCUUCAUUUACUUUUUGGACAUACUUGAGUAUCUGAGAAUUAAAUUGGUAUUCCGGUUAGCCUGAGAUAAUCGUUGUCUAUUGUAAAAUCAAGUACAUGUUUUAUAUUAUGCUCUGUAUAUUUCAUUUUUAAUUCAGUUAAUCAAACAUCUACAAAAAGAAGUAUAUAUAUAUACACUAUAAUCCCCACAUUAUAAUCCUGCGUAUAACUUAUUUUGCGAACCAAACAAACCCUUAGAAACCCUUAGAGUUGGAGGUCAAAAGUUCAGUCUUUCAAACAGUUGCCUUGCUAUGUGAAAUAGGAAGGCUAUUUGCCAAAUGGUUGUACUGCAGUUUGCACCAUCACUUAUAACUGGACAUCAACGUUCAGUAAGUUAACUAUAAGAGGGUGAACUAAAGUGAAGAGUUGAGUCUUGAAACUAGCCUCUUUGUAAUGUAGAAAGUAAGAAUAUACACAGCUGCUUGUCACACAUUUGUUGAGGAGGAAGGGGAUAUAAGUGGUCUUUCACUAAUACUUUUAUCUUAAAGAUGAACUUUAGCGCGAUGGUAAGUUGAGUGUGAAAUGACCUCAAUAUGAAGUAUAUUUUGCAAAAGCACAAUGGUAAAUCUACUGCAGAAAGUAAGUCUUAAUACAGUUGCUUGUAUAAUGGUAAGGUUGUACUACAUUUUGCAUUAAUACUAAUAGCUGAGGCUAAACACAAUGCUAACUUUAUUUUAUGGUGGCUCUGAAGUUGAAGAAAGUUUUAAAAAUAGCCUCCGCAUAGAAUAAAAAGUUAAGGCUAUGUACAGAUUUUUAGUACCAAAAGUUGCACUAACAAUUAAAGGUGAGAUUCAACACAUUGGUGAGUAAGUAUAUGUUGAGGUGAGAACCUUUUUUGGAGGUCUCCAACGUAUCCUAAAUGCUGAGGAAUAUAACAUUACAAGUUUCAAGAAAAAACGUAUAUGUUGAGGUGAGUGGAUGUCAGAAGUUCUCUUGUAGAUAGCCUGGUUGCGGUUCAGAGAGUGAGGCUAUGCACACAUGACCUCUUUUUCAAACCUCAAUAUCUAUCUUGCAAGGAUCCUUUUUACCUCUGGAUAAGGGUGUGAGACUCUUACCACGUUUGGUCAUUCAAACCCUCAUUGAGUCCUCGAGGAAUAUUUUUUUGGAUGAGUGAUUUCGAACACUUCAUUGAUUGUUGCUAUCAUUUCCAAAUUCCAACAGCAUGAUCCAGCAGCUGGGGUUAAGUCUCUCUUCUUUUCAUUUUUAUUUUUUUAUUUUUGAAGGAAGGGAAAUAUCGUGAAGCACUUGGGAAGUGGGAAUCUGCUCUGCUUUUGAUGCCAGAUCGUGCCAUUCUGCAUGAACAGAAGGCUCAAAUUUUGCUUGAACUUGGAGAGACAUGGAAGGCGCUACAAGCUGCUACUCGUAUGUUUUGAUACUCACAUUAAUUCGAAUGAAAUUCUCCUCAUUUCCUGAGCAAAUUAUGCUGAGAUAAUGUCAAUUCACAAACAUAUUUUACUUGGAUUUAUUUUCAAUGCUAUAUCUCAUUAAAGGUUAUGCACCUACUUUUAGGCUCUGAAGCUUCUUAGUGCCUACUUUUGACUCAUCUUUAAGGUUAUGGACAAAUCUGGCAAAUAUAUCAUUUCAAAUAUGAUCUUGAUAACAGCCAAAUGUGGGAACCUAGAGCAAGACUAAGUUUAUUUUUUACUUAUCUUUUCCUUGGCAUUGGAAGAUUUUUCUUUUCCACAUUCUUCCUGUUGUAAAUCUAUAUCUGGCAUAUAGAUAUUCAAAGAUGGAUUUUAGCCUACUUUCAUGGUCACUAAUGCCCUCUUGGCAUAUAGAUAUUCAAAGAUGGAUUUUAGCCUACUUUCAUGGUCACUAAUGUCCUCUUAAGUCAUUGAUCUGUGUUUGUGUAUAAAAUAACUUCAGAUGAUAUAUUUCAUGACUCAUAUGUAACCUGCUUCCUGUUUGAGCAGGUGCAACUGAGUUGGAACCAAGCUGGGGUGAGGUGUGUGUGAAACUGUUGAUCAUUCGGUUUUACUAUUGUUUCACCUGUUGUUAAUAUACCUGCUUUAGGCAUGUAAACGCAACUCUUAGUGCUCUGCAAUAAUUGGGAACCCUCACCAUCCUUGCUUAAUAUCAUGGGGGAUCCUGAUGAACAAUGUAACAUAUUUUUUAUCUGUGAUCUAUUCAGUUUCAAUACUUCUAAGACUAAUUUGUCAAACUUCAACUGGCUAUAAGUGUCAUGGGCUAGUUUUCAUGUGCAAAGUCCUCUGGAUUUCAGCCUUAAUUGUUCACCCCAAUGUGCAUGUUACUUCCUUUCUGUUCUACCUCUUCCUGCAUCUAUUCCCUAGACUAGGCAAAUUCAAUGCUUCUAUGUCUUCACUUGGUAAUAAAUUACUGGCUUUAGAGGUUAAGAUAGGUAAUUAGUGGUGUACCGACAAGCUACCUCAUGAUAGAAGCAGCUUUGCACUUUGAACUUCCUGGUCAUACUUGCGUGCAUAGUUAAGCUUAGAGAGCUUGAUGGAAUGAUCAAGCAAAAGGCACUCUCUUUUUCUAUUCCGUUUCCAUAAUCCAAACUAUUUACAGCUUUGGAAAAUGAAGCUUAGACUAAAAGGCAGUUGACUGCAAGCUUCUGGUUCUUAGGGAACGGUCAAUUUCUACUAUCACUAGAAUGUACACUACUUUAUUCCAGUGCUUAUUGCUAGUUCUUCUGUCUGUUGCAGGCGUGGGUCACCCUUGGUAGAGCACAGCUGAAUUAUGGUGAGCCUGACAGUGCUAUAGAAAGCUUAGACAGAGCACUAGCCAUCAAGGUAUAGAUUAAAUUUAUAACUAAUGCUCACGCUUGCUUCUUCUGAGGAUCUUUUUUAACUGAGAUGUUUCCUUUAUGAGUAAAUGGAUAUUCUUUGCUUUUAAUGUAUUACGCCAAUACCAAAGGUCAAUAUUACUACCUUUGUAUCUGGAGGACAAACUGUCUUUUGAGAUUUAAGCAAUUGUCUAACUCUAUUCAUCUUGCUUCUAUCACAUCCUAGUUCUGAAAUGUUCAGUGGAAUAUUGUGCUAAGUGUGUCAGAUUGAUUGCCUUUGUAAUUGAUGCUCACGUGUUCAGUAAACCACUUACGCACCAUAAAUCGGAUUUGUUUUGCAGCCAGACUCUGCUGAGGCUCGUAAUGAUCGACAAGCUGCCUUGCAUCAUAUUUCAGAGGAGUAAAAACAGUUACAGUACAUUCAGGUUUGAGCAUGAACCAACACCGUUUUUCUGUAGGGGACCAAACUGAGAGCACUUGAAGGUUUGAAAACGUAGGGUUAAUCUCAUUACCGAUGAUGCUUUGUUCCGAUAAAAUCCUGAGGCUAGGGAAUAUCUUCUGUCACAUUUGACUUCGAGUCAAGGUUUCAAAAUGCUGGUUCAGCUAUAGAAAGAGGUGUAGGUGUGCAUAUCAGUGAGGAGAGAAAAUAGCCAGAAGGGUUGACAAUGAUGAAACAUGAUGCCUGGGCACUGAAAUGUCUACUUGUAAUAUAGAUGAUCCUCUAUGGCCUCUAACAUUGAGUUACUUCAUACUUAUGUUUGUUUGAUUAUUCUGAUUAGUAAUAUAUAUAUAUAUAUAUAUAUACACACACGUCCUGGUGUGCAAAUCAAGUGAAUGACGUUUUUUACGUUCAAAAAGUGCAUCUGAUUUGUCUUUUUACCUUAGAGGUGAACGAUCAAAGGUGUAAAAUAUGCUUUUUAAAUGGAGCAGUCUGAAUGCUUGUUCAGUUUAUAAAAUCAAUGUCAUGUUGUGUCUAUUUUACCAUUGCUAUUAAAUAUUGUAUUUAUUUUUCAAUGUUUAGAUAACUUAUAUUUAAUAAGGGUGAUUUGAUAAAAUUACCCUAUCAUUUACUGCUUUUUAAUCUCUGUGCUAAGUUAAUAUAGUGGACAACUAUUGUUGAACACAUAGGGUGUGCGUAUAUAUGUGUGUUUUUGAUUGGAUGGGAAUGGGUUUGUGUGGGUUUGUGUGUGAAUGAGUGAAUUAAUUUUGGUUUUUUCUAUUUAUUAAUUUCAAUUAACGACCUAUGAAAUUGUUAUAUAUAUAUAUAUAUACAUUUCUUGGAAAUGAAGUACUCCAUAUUACUCAUGAUAUUAGCUUAAAAUUUAAAAAAUUAAAUUUAACCACUACUAAGGAUUUGGAAGGGGAAUUCAUUAUAUUUAAGUUUUAUUAACUUUCAAACUUAUUAAUUUUAUAGAAUUAAUCAAAUGGUAAAUUAAUUUUACUUUUCUGCGUCAUUUCAGUUUUCACUAUCUUCAUUUUCAUAUAUAAUUUUUUUAUAUUUUUUGAGGGGGAAAUGUGUCCCUAUAAUAAUUUUACAUGAAAAAUAUCUUAGAGCUCAAAUCAGCUAGAUAUAUUUAAAAGAUUUAUUAAUGGCACAAAAGAAAUUCAUGUCAAUAAUAUUAGAUUUAAUUAUUCAGAAAUUUGAGGAUAAGCACUAAAAUUGUUGAUUCAACUUCAACUUUUCAUGUCUAUACAUUAAAUUGCUUGAAUACGUAUAUGGCAUCAUUAAUUGAAAAUGUAUCCAUUCAACACACGUUGUUUCCAUGGCUCACAUCUCUUUUUGAGAGAGUGAAAUAAAAAAAAUAUUUAUUUUUCUAAAUUUAUAUUUUGUAUACCACGUCCGAUAAAUUUUCCUCUCCGCUUUACCUCGCAUGACAAUUUUUUUUAAUUUUCAAUCCGACCCACCUUACCCCGCAUAAUUGUUUCAAUAUUUUUCCUUUUUGAUUAAGUUUGACACAAAAAAUAAAAUUCAUAAAAAUAAAUUUAUUACUCUCAUUAAGUUGUAUUAACUUAAUAAAUAGUGACUUGAUUUUUUUUAGAGGUCAAUUAAAAAGCAUGUAAGAAACUGUAUUAGUUUUGAUUGAACUAUUUUCAUUUAAUAUCUUCAAUAUUUUACUUAGGAGAAAAUAGCCAAAUACCCCCUUAAUCUAUUACCAGAUUACCAACUACACACUUAUACUUCACGAGAACCACUUUCCUUUUUAGUCAGUCUCAAAAAGAAUAACACAUUUUCUAUAUUAAGUAACAAUUUAACUAUAAAAUGUCUAUUUUACCCUUAAUGAAAUGAUUUACAGCUACACAAAUUUCUAUCAUUCAUUUUGGACCACAAGUUUUAAAAGUCUUCCUUUCUUUCUUAAACUCUGUGCUGAGUCAAACUACCUCACAUAAAAUGGGACGGAGGGAGUAAUGAAUUUGUCAUUUUGUGUAUUCUUACUUGUGAAAGGUGCUCUAUCACUCUUAUAACAUGUAAAAAGUUUAAAUUAAGUUUGAACCCGUAUAAAACCGCAUAGACCCGCAACUUGCCCCGUAUUAAUUUAAAAAAAAUUAUUUCAACAUGUCCCGCACAACCUUAAAAUCACCUCACCCCACAUUCGCCCCGUUGUCGUCCCCGCAGAAAAGGUGAAAGUUCAAAUAGGAAAUCAACUUAGCUACUAAAAUUCUCCAAAAUUUGAGUGCUCCACGUUAGUUGUUGUUUUUAAAAAAAAGAAGAAGUUAACAACGCAAUAACACGAUUUAAAGAGUAAAAAUAAUAACCAAAAACGGGGACUAAUAUUACAACAUACAACGUCUUGAAGGAUAAUUAACAAAGGAAAUAUCACCCUCACAAAAAUAACAUAAUAGUACUACACAAUAAUUUAUUAAUGAGUUUAACUUAUNNNNNNNNNNNNNNNNNNNNNNNNNNNNNNNNNNNNNNNNNNNNNNNNNNNNNNNNNNNNNNNNNNNNNNNNNNNNNNNNNNNNNNNNNNNNNNNNNNNNNNNNNNNNNNNNNNNNNNNNNNNNNNNNNNNNNNNNNNNNNNNNNNNNNNNNNNNNNNNNNNNNNNNNNNNNNNNNNNNNNNNNNNNNNNNNNNNNNNNNNNNNNNNNNNNNNNNNNNNNNNNNNNNNNNNNNNNNNNNNNNNNNNNNNNNNNNNNNNNNNNNNNNNNNNNNNNNNNNNNNNNNNNNNNNNNNNNNNNNNNNNNNNNUCUGGUUGAAUUUCUAUGUAAUUAGCUUAUGUAUAAUGUGUGAGUGUGGGUAUAAUGUGUGAGUGUGGGUUUUUGGAUAUUUUUAUCUAAGGCUAACAAAGAGAGAAUGAAAAUUUGAAGUAAAAAAAAUAAAUAUAGUUGAAUGAUUUUGUUGUCCAAAUAAAAAGACCAUCCAAGAAAUUAACUCUUGUUUGUGUAGUUGAGCCAAGGAAACUACCUAUUAAUUUUUCAAGUUAAAUAAUUACCAAAAACUAAUUUUUAUUUUAUUUUUUUCUUGAAAUGGAAUGUGUGUUUUGUGUGGUUUUGGUUUGUUCAUUUUAAUAUUUGUGAAGUCAUAUGUGUAGAUGAGCCAGUAAAGUAGGAAUUUAGUUUUUUCAUGCGAACUUAAAUUGUUGAAAAUGUCGUCUGUGUGUUGGAAGGGUAAUGGAUUUGUGUGGGUUUGUAAAUUAAUUAUGAUGACUACUAUAUUAAAAAAAAUAAAAAAUCAUGUGAUUGUCAUACAUUUCUAGGAAAUGCUCAAGUACUCCGUAAUACUUAUGAGUUAUGAUAAUAGUUUAUUUCAAAAAAAUACUUAACCAAUCAAAAAAAAAAUUAUUUUACUUUUCCAUGUAAUUUUACUAUCUUCAUUACCAGAAAUUCUAUACUAUUUUUUUCUUGUAAAGGAAGUAUGUCUAUCAUAAUCUUACAUGAAAAAAAGUUAUUAUUUCUACUAUCAAAAUUUAUAAACAGAAAUGAAAAUAAUCAAAGAAAAAUAAAGUUUCAAGCCUACAGAAUAUUGUAUUUUCUUAAAGAAUUUAAUUUCUUUAUACUUGUCCAAGAUUUGGAAUAAUAUCUUCCAAAAUAAAAUAAAACACUAUUUAGCAAUACUGGUAAUUGAUAUUGUAGAACUUCAGUGAAAUUCAAAAAACGAAGUAAAUCAUAUAACACUUACUGUUUUUACUUGAAAAACUUAUGCAAAUAAAAAAGAAAGAAAUAUAAGAAUUCUUUCUGCUUUUAGUAAUAAGAAAAUUUUGUUUUUCAAUGUGUCAAAUAAGGCGAAGUCAUAGCCAUCGACAAAUGCGAAGGUGACGUUGGAAAGGGAGGUAAUUUUGAAUCGUCUCUCUUUAAAUAGCUAAAAGAAGUAUUUCUAUUUAAAAGCACAAAAAAUCUCUUCUUCAGUACCACCGAUAAAGAAGAAAUGAACUUUAUUUUCCUCUUAACUUAUUUUCUUCAAUUUCUCAAUUCACAUUAUAACUCAUCUUUCGACAGUUAACUAGCUUGUUUUAAAAAAUGUUACUCAUCUUUCGACGGUUAACUAGCUUGUUUUAAAAAAUGUGUGCUAGCUUGAUGUCCCCUGAAUUUUGUUACUACUUACUAUAUUGAUAAUUUUCAUUGCUAUUUUAUAUAUUGAUUUCUUAAUAUUGCGUUGUUGCGUAUGAAAUACAAAUAUCGAUAAGAUAACCAAAAAAAUUUUAGCGUGUGUAAGUGUUUCCUUUGGCAUUAUAGAAUGUGAUUUCAUUAUUUACCUUAAAUUUUCACCCUAUUUGAAAAUAAAAAUGUUAGUAGUCCACUUUAGUUUAACAUUAAAUAAAAUGAACAACGGUGUAACAUUAUUGGGGAGGAAAAUUAAAUAAAUGAAAAUGGAGACUCUAUAACAACAUACAACGUCCUUAGCUUGUAGGCUAAUUAACAUCACAAAAAUAACAUAAUACUAAACAAUAAUUUAUUGAUGAAUUUAGCUUACAUGCAUCAACAAUAUCGUAUGUAAGGAAUCAGGUAAAUCAUGUAAACAUUCUUUACAAUAUUGUCAAUGUAUAUAAUUUAAACUAUCGGAUACAUAUGAAUUACAUAAAUACUUUAUUCAAUAAUAUUACCACAAUCCAAAACAAAAACAAGUUCAUUGGGACUAAGAGGAGGUGCCAUCAGAGGGGUUAAUCUUUUUCUUAUCAUUCUUGAAAAGUGGACACCACAGUUUUGCCUAUCUUUUCAAUAGCCAUUGCCUUCACUGAUUUCUUGUCUUUCUUUGGAAACACACUUCCAUUCUUUGAUGUGCCUUCUUUGCCCUUUCCAUUAUUCUCCAUAUCUUUGUUGAUAAUAUAUAUAUAAGUAAGUAAAUAAAACUGUAUCGUUCUUUGUAACAACUUAAAUUUUUAGAUGAAAUGAUCACACAGUACUUCAACAAUCUCUUCUCUUAGAACUUAUGAAUAUGAGGAAGUGUAUUAAUGUUUUGUUGCUUUUAAUUUGUGAUGUUUUGAGGAGUGCAUAUGUUGAGGUAUUUAUACGAGUUUUGAGGCUUUUGUUUAUGGUCAUGAAAGUUUUCAUGCAACUCUAGUUGAAUUUCUGAGUAAUUAGCUUAUGUAAGAUUAAUUAAAAAGAAGAUUGUUAAUUAUUUCUUGCAUGGAAUGUGUGAGUGUGGGUGUUUGGGGUUUGAGUAAAAAAAAAAUUGUUGUAUGAUUUUGUUGUGCAAAUAAUAAAAAAAAGUUAUAGUAUGUUAUUUUCAUUACUUGAGAUGACUAUCCAAGAAAUUAAGUCUUGUUUGUGUGGUUGAGCCAAGGAAACUACGUAGUUAUCUUGUUCAAGCUAAAUUACCAAAAACUAAUUACUAUUUUAUUUUUCUAAUUCUUGCAUGGAAUAUGUGUUUAUGUGGGUGUGUAAUUUCGGAUUGUUCAUUUUAAUGUGAAGUCAUGUGUGUUACUAAGAAAUUGUGUGUGUCGAUGAGCUAGGAAACUAGGAAAAUUAAUUUCAUGCUAAUUUAAAUUACUAAGAACUAAUUUUCUAUAUAGUUUAUUUAUUUAUAUUGCAUGGUUGUGUGUGUGUUGUUGGGGUAAUAGGUUUGUGUGGGUUUGAAGAUUAAUUAGGAUGACUUCUAUUUAAUUUGUUAUACGUUUAUAGGAAAUGUCCAAGUAGUACUCCGUAAUACUUAUGAAAAUAGUUUAUACAUUUCUAGGAAAUGUUCAAUUUAUUUUAAAAGAAUACUUAACCAAUUAAAGAGAAAAUUGAUUUAUUUUUCCAUGUAAUUUCACUAUCUUCAUUACUAGCGCAUCGUAAUUUUUUUUAUAGGAAGCAUGUCCCUUUCAUAAUCUUACCUGGAAAAGUAUCUUAAAUCUCAAAUAAUCAGCUAGCUAGCUAGAUGUGUUUUAAAAUAUAUAUUAAUGGCAAAAAGAAAUUAAUAAGUAAGUAAUAUAAGAUUUAAUAAUUUCGCAAAUUCAGGGAUAUGCGCACUCAAAUUAUUGAUUUCAACUUCAUUUUUUCAUGUCUAUACCUUUUUCUUGAAAACUUUAUGCUUAAUACAUAGAAUACCUUUUAAAAUUAACAAUUUAUGUAAUUUCUGGUUGAAUUUCUAAGUUAGUUCAGGUAAGAUUGAGAGAACGGGUGUGUUUGGUAUGAAGUUACAUAUUUUUCAAUUUUCUCAUUAUUGGUUCAAUUUGGGAUCAAGAUCGGGGAUAGGGAUCAAGUCGAUGUUAACAUCAACGUCAUUGGGUGUCGGGUCGCGACUGGGGUCGGUGUUCAAAUCCUGGGCUAGAGUUAGGCUAGGGUCGAGUUGAGAGUCAAGUUCUACGGUGGGAUUGAAUCAAUAUAGAGGAUUGGGGCUAGGAUCGUGUCUCGGGUUGGUAUUGGGGUCAAGUUGGGGUGGAGACACCUGUUCAAGUUUAUGUUAAGACUGGGGGUUCGAGUUAUCAUUUAGACAUUUUGAAUUUGUUGCCUCAACAUUUCCUCGCGGUGACAGGGGGACCCUUCAGCGUUAUAGGAUAUAGUGAUUUCAAUAUUUAUCUUUAAAAUGCUCACUUCAUAUUAAAAUAAAAAUUUGAGUUCUUUUUAAAAAAAAUAUAUAUAUAACGAGGAUAGGGAAUGAGGAAGGAGAAAUUGUUGGGUUUUGGGUUUUUUUUCCCUUCCUAUGUAGAUAAAUAAAAGUCCAAGGUUUUAGUUCUUUCCUUUGUGGAUAAAUUUAGCACAAAUUUGACUAACUCACUUUUACCCAUAAGCCCAAUAUUAUGGUACAUAUGUAAGACUUUAUUUUUAGGUCUUAUUUUGAAGAAUCACUAGAGAGUGAGAGCAGCCAUAUAGAGAGAAAAGUGAGAGAGUGCAGAUUUUCGCACAAGCCCUAGCAGCCAAUUUCAAAUUGCGAUUCCCGCUUAGUUUCUUAUACGAUUGAGCUAGUUUUUGGAUAGCUUAUUCCUUUCAACUUAAUCUUUGAUUGGAAACUGAGAGAGGGUGACUUGGUGUCCUGUAGCUCUAGAUUUUUGCUCGUGAACAGUAGCUGAGUAUUUGGUGUUUUUGCUUCUUUUAUUUCUCUAGUUUUUGGUGCUUUCUUGUAGUUGUGUUGCUCAUUGUUCGACACUUUGUUGGUGGACAUUUUGGAGAACACUUUUGUAACUCUUGUUGAUUUUAGAGGAGCUUUGGCCUUGUGAUUUUUACUCUUCACACAGAAGAGGUUUUCCACGUUAAAUUUGGUGUCUUGUGUGUUGAUUUAUUUUGCUUGCUUGGUUGAUUUAUCUGCUGCCCCAAACAGUAUUUUUCUUGCAUUAUUUUGUCUUCUCUUGGUUCAAAUAGAAGGGAAAGUUUUGACUUGAGUUUUUUUUCCGCUAUUGCCCUGUCGUGCACAUUUAUUUUGUGCUUGCCUUUCCCAAUAGAAAUGAGAGAAGGAUUAUAAUUAAGGUCGGAAAAUCGAACCUCAAGUAAAAGUUCAGAUAAUCAAUCAACUCAAUAUGUAUGUAAUAAGACUCCCCGAAAUUCAAGUACUUCACUUUAGUUUAAAUUGAGAAAUUAACAACGGGAUAGCACUAUAGAAGAAGAAAACUAACAAACGGAAACGAAGACUCAUGUUACAGUUGAUAACAUUCCUGAAGGUUAAUUAAUAAAGGAAAAAUCACUCUCAUUGAAAAACAAAAUACUACACCAUAGUUACUAAUGAAUUUAACUUAUAUACAUCAACAAUAUCAGAUAAAUAAUGUAAGCAUUAUUCUUUAUAAUACUGGCGAUGUAUAUAAGUUAAAACCCUCGAAAAGCUUCAGAAUCAAAUAAAUACUAAUUUAUUCAAUAAUAUUAGCAUAAUCCAAAAAGGCAAGUUCAUUCAUUAUAGAUAUGGGACUAACUACUAAGAGGAGGUGCCAUCAGAGGGGUUAAUUUUUUUCUUAUCAUUCUUGAAAGUGGACACCACAGCUUUGCCUAUCUUUUCAACAGCCAUUUUCUUCACUGACUUCUUAUCUUUCUUUGGGAACACACUUCCAAUAUUCUUUGAUAUGCCUACUUUGUCCUUUCCAUUUGUUCUCCAUAUCUCCUCUUAGAAAUAAUUAUGAAUAUGAGCAAGUGUAGUGUAUUAUAUAUUGCUUUGUUG